AUUGAACGCUGGCGGAAUGCUUUACACAUGCAAGUCGAACGGCAGCACGGACUUCGGUCUGGUGGCGAGUGGCGAACGGGUGAGUAAUGUAUCGGAACGUGCCCAGUCGUGGGGGAUAACGUAGUGAAAAUUACGCUAAUACCGCAUACGAUCUAUGGAUGAAAGCGGGGGAUCGAAAGACCUCGCGCGAUUGGAGCGGUCGAUAUCAGAUGAGGUAGUUGGUGGGGUAAAGGCCCACCAAGCCAACGAUCUGUAGCUGGUCUGAGAGGACGACGAGCCACACUGGAACUGAGACACGGUCCAGACUCCUACGGGAGGCAGCAGUGGGGAAUUUUGGACAAUGGGCGAAAGCCUGAUCCAGCCAUUCCGCGUGCAGGAUGAAGGCCCUCGGGUUGUAAACUGCUUUUGUACAGAGCGAAAAGGUUUCUACUAAUACUAGGAGCUCAUGACGGUACUGUAAGAAUAAGCACCGGCUAACUACGUGCCAGCCGCCGCAGUAA
This 500-nucleotide ribosomal RNA is filed under the name uncultured bacterium. RNAcentral's name for it is "partial 16S ribosomal RNA". It matches the Rfam family "Bacterial small subunit ribosomal RNA", at positions 30 to 523 of the family's 1533-position model. The record is from RNAcentral.